This 550-nucleotide long non-coding RNA is filed under the name Gallus gallus (chicken). Lineage: Eukaryota; Metazoa; Chordata; Aves; Galliformes; Phasianidae. The record is from RNAcentral.
CUUUGAAAUUCCUUAUGUCGCACUGGCAAAGUAUGAAAUAGCUGCUGUAUGCUCACAGUUGUUCCUUGCUGCCGUGGAUAAGGAGCUUUCUGGGUAAUCUUACCAUUGUGAUCAAAUACCAAACGAGUCCCAACCUUUGCAGACUUAUGGCAAGUCGAAAUGGUAACAUCACUUAAUGCACACAACGAACUGAGAGCUUCACCUCGAAACCCAAAUGUCUCAACAUGUAUUAGAUCAGAAAAAUCUUGUAUCUUUGACGUAUAAUGUUUCAGAGUUAAUCCUUCAAAGUUUUCCUCUUCCACUCCACCUCCGUUAUCUGAAACCUCUAUCAGCUCCGCCCCGUGGUCUUUAAGUCUUACAUCGAUGUUGGUCGCUCCGGCGUCCAGGCUGUUCUCCACCAGCUCCUUCACGGCCGUGCCCAGGCUCAGCACCACCUGCCCCGAGCAGAUCCGGUGCACAGACUCGCGGUCGAUGCGCUUGAUGGUCUUGGCGGGCUCCGAGCACGGCGCGGCCUCCUCCAUGGAUCCCCACCGCUCGCCUCGGCCGCCCG